This is a long non-coding RNA of Dermochelys coriacea (leatherback sea turtle), 1430 nucleotides long. RefSeq lists it as uncharacterized. The record is from RefSeq and is a predicted model, not a curated record. NCBI's taxonomy places the organism in Eukaryota, Metazoa, Chordata, Testudines, Dermochelyidae. The transcript has 4 exons.
GGCAGCUCCCAGGUAGGAGUGGGCGGCUGUCAGGCGCUAAGAAAGCAGGCUGUUGCCUGUUAUUUCCCUGCUGGGAAAAGGAGCUGCCAAGUGCAAGAGGAGAGGAAAAAAAAGCUCUCUGUGGGACUCCAGAGGGUAAAUACGUUCCAGAUGGAGCCACUCAAGAUGGUUUAUGGAAAGGCUGUAUUUAAAGAUACGAUACGUAUGGCCUCCUGGAUCCUGUACUCAAGAGAGGUGUGAACUCAGGUAAAGCAGUGCUCCUAAGAAAUUGUCAACUGGGAUGAUGACAACAGGAAACCUGGCAGGAGAUUGAACUGGAGAUAGCAAAUUGUCUGUCUGCCAAAGGGACCGGUGUUGUUGCCCCUGCAUAUUUAUCACUAGUCUGCUUUCCCCCUACCCAGUGCUAUUUCUUACUUGUCAUUAGAUGUGCAGUGUUGCAAAGGCUUCCUUACUGCUGUAGAAGAGUUAAACAAAAUCAGGAGUGGAGAGGAUCAUUAGGAGAGAGACUUUGCUCAGGACUAUAUCUUGCUAAACAACCUUUUACAUUGUCAGUAUGAGGAAAAUGCUUUGGGGUGGGUAGCAUCUGGGCAUGAUUAGAUUUUAACAGAUUUCUCAGACAGUAGAUAGUGAGAUACAGAGCUUUUCAGCCCUGUAUCCUUAGGACAAUUCCAGUUCAGCUCUACAAGACUAGAAGUCAUUUCCCUGUUCUCUGUGUCAUAUUACUUGGGACUCCUCACAUGGGUACUCCUGGUGGACAGAUGUCCACGUUAGUUUUGUCCUGCCUCAUAACCUGACACCAAGGAUUGAAAAAAACUAUUAGGCUCAGUCCCUUCUCCCCCCCCCCCAAUAAACUCCACACUCUCUCAGGGUGAAGGAAGGAAGUGGUAGAGGGUGAUGGAUUGGGAAAUGGGGUGGAGUGAAUGGCUGGGCUGCAAGGAAGAAUGCAACCAAAAGGGAGGAACGGUAGGAAGAGUCAUUGAGCUGGUAGGGAGAAGAAAGAGAGAAAGCAAUAUGAUCAGGCAGGAAAAGGUUAAACAGAAGGUUAGCGAAGAGGGAUGGAGACUGGGGGAAAGUGUGAUAGUCAUGGGAGGAAAGGUACUUGAUAGGACAGAGAUGAAGGAGGUGGAUAGAAGGCUAGACAAGUAAAAUGGAUAUUUAAAGGCAGAGGGAAUGAGGUUGGUAGGAACUUAAUUGGGUGGAGGAAGGUUUUGAAGAGUUCUGAAAACCAGGGAACUUUUUUUUUAAGAUUGGAUUUGGAAAUGUUAGAAAACUGAUACUCUGUCCUUUCAGGAGUCAGUCAUCCUUGAUCCAUUGUGAGGAACAAAUUUAAGCAGUGAGGUGCAUGUUUCUAAAGCUGCAACCUCCAGGUGUCAAUUUUGUUUCCUGGGAUAAUACACCAAAGUGGGGCUAAGUGGAUGGGGAGUACCCCC